RNAcentral lists this ribosomal RNA (449 nucleotides) under uncultured bacterium. RNAcentral describes it as "bacterial SSU rRNA". It matches the Rfam family "Bacterial small subunit ribosomal RNA", at positions 28 to 457 of the family's 1533-position model. The record is from RNAcentral.
GAUGAACGCUGGCGGCGUGCCUAACACAUGCAAGUCGAACGAAGCACUUUAUUUGAUUUCCUUCGGGACUGAUUAUUUUGUGACUGAGUGGCGGACGGGUGAGUAACGCGUGGGUAACCUGCCUUGUACAGGGGGAUAACAGUUGGAAACGGCUGCUAAUACCGCAUAAGCGCACAGCAUCGCAUGAUGCAGUGUGAAAAACUCCGGUGGUAUAAGAUGGACCCGCGUUGGAUUAGCUAGUUGGUGAGGUAACGGCCCACCAAGGCGACGAUCCAUAGCCGACCUGAGAGGGUGACCGGCCACAUUGGGACUGAGACACGGCCCAAACUCCUACGGGAGGCAGCAGUGGGGAAUAUUGCACAAUGGGCGAAAGCCUGAUGCAGUGACGCCGCGUGAGCGAAGAAGUAUUUCGGUAUGUAAAGCUCUAUCAGCAGGGAAGAUAAUGACGG